GGGCCGUUUUUCGAUGGUAAUUGGACUAUAGGCUUUCACGGGUACAGGGAAUUAGGGUUCGAUUCUGGAGAAGGAGCCUGAGAAACGGCUACUACAUCUACGGAAUGCUUCAUGCCCCGUAAAUUACCCAAUCCUGACUCAGGGAGGUGGUGACAAGAUAUAACAACGCAAUUUCAUUGUGAUUGUAGUGAGGGUAUUCCAAACCGAACCACUAGUACGAUUAGAGGGCAAGUCUGGUGCCAGCAGCCGCGGUAAUUCCAGCUCUAAUAGCGUAUAUUAAAGUUGCUGCAGUUAAAAGCUCGUAGUUGGAUUUCAAGGAUUGUGUACUCUUCUCAGAGUAUGCACCCUACUAGUCUUUGACUUGUUACUGUGAGAAAAUUAGAGUGUUUAAAGCAGGCUAUUGCAAGAAUACAUUAGCAUGAAUAACGAAUGUAUCUAGAAUCUGGUUAAUCUAGGCGCGACACAGAGACAGAGGGGGCAUCAGUAUUAAUUGUCGAGGCGACAUCUCUUUGUAUUUGUUAAGACUACGUAUGCGAAAGCAUUUGCCAGGACGUUUUCAUCUAUCAAGAUCGAAAGAUAGGGGAUCAAGACAUCAGAUACUGUCGUAGUCUAUCUAUAACUAUGCCGACUAGGAUUGAUGAAACAUCACAUUUCCGUACUUAUGAGGAUCUAGUCUUGGCUUCUGGGGGGGAGUACGUCGAAGACUGUAACUUAAGAAUUUGACGAGACCACAGGAGGAGCCGCGCUUAUUUGA
Molecule: ribosomal RNA, 754 nt
Filed under: uncultured rumen protozoa
Lineage: Eukaryota
Description: bacterial SSU rRNA
Rfam family: Eukaryotic small subunit ribosomal RNA
Source: RNAcentral